RNAcentral lists this long non-coding RNA (400 nucleotides) under Brassica napus (rape). RNAcentral's name for it is "long non-coding RNA (BNAP_LNC002480)". The record is from RNAcentral. Lineage: Eukaryota; Viridiplantae; Streptophyta; Magnoliopsida; Brassicales; Brassicaceae.
CAAGGCCACAUGUUCCAGUGUAUAACCGGCACUAUGAAUAGGUCUAAACCUUGAGUUUGACAGCUACAGAAGACACACUGUUCAACUAGGACUAAAUGGGACUGUCUGUUCAACUAGGACUAAAUGGGACGCACCCAGUUCGUGGAUGGACCAAGCAAACUACAAAUUCUCUUUCCAGUGAUAAGCAUCAUCAGUAGUGUAGUUUCUUAGAGUAUGGUUUCUUAUAGAUAAGCUUGGUAUUGAAGGAUAGUGACCAACAUAUAAACAACUUGAACUAUAUGCUUGCCUUUGUUCAACAUCACACAGUCAUCCAUGCAAAAUAUUCAAAUUCCAUAGUUAGACAAAGAAAUGUUUAGCAUGAUCAUAUUUACUUUUGGUGAAAAAGCAAAAGCACGGUAUC